RNAcentral lists this ribosomal RNA (192 nucleotides) under uncultured bacterium. RNAcentral's name for it is "partial 16S ribosomal RNA". It matches the Rfam family "Bacterial small subunit ribosomal RNA", at positions 461 to 652 of the family's 1533-position model. The record is from RNAcentral.
CUGGUGGGAUGACGGUACCCAAAGAAUAAGCACCGGCUAACUUCGUGCCAGCAGCCGCGGUAAUACGAAGGGUGCAAGCGUUACUCGGAAUUACUGGGCGUAAAGCGUGCGCAGGUGGUCUUUUAAGUCCGAUGUGAAAUCCCUGGGCUCAACCUGGGAACUGCAUUGGAUACUGGGCGACUAGAGUGUGGU